RNAcentral lists this ribosomal RNA (253 nucleotides) under uncultured bacterium. RNAcentral describes it as "partial 16S ribosomal RNA". It matches the Rfam family "Bacterial small subunit ribosomal RNA", at positions 524 to 776 of the family's 1533-position model. The record is from RNAcentral.
UACGGGGGGGGCAAGCGUUGUUCGGAAUUACUGGGCGUAAAGGGCUCGUAGGCGGCCAACUAAGUCCGACGUGAAAUCCCCAGGCUUAACCUGGGAACUGCGUCCGAUACUGGAAGGCUUGAAUCCGGGAGAGGGAUGCGGAAUUCCAGGUGUAGCGGUGAAAUGCGUAGAUAUCAGGAGGAACACCGGUGGCGAAGGCGGGUCUCUGGGCCAUAACUGACGCUGAGGAGCGAAAGCGUGGGGAGCGAACAGG